This 253-nucleotide ribosomal RNA is filed under the name uncultured bacterium. RNAcentral's name for it is "partial 16S ribosomal RNA". It matches the Rfam family "Bacterial small subunit ribosomal RNA", at positions 524 to 776 of the family's 1533-position model. The record is from RNAcentral.
UACGUAGGGUGCGAGCGUUGUCCGGAAUUAUUGGGCGUAAAGAGCUCGUAGGCGGUUUGUCGCGUCUGCUGUGAAAGACCGGGGCUCAACUCCGGUUCUGCAGUGGGUACGGGCAGACUAGAGUGUGGUAGGGGAGACUGGAAUUCCUGGUGUAGCGGUGAAAUGCGCAGAUAUCAGGAGGAACACCGAUGGCGAAGGCAGGUCUCUGGGCCACUACUGACGCUGAGAAGCGAAAGCAUGGGGAGCGAACAGG